Molecule: long non-coding RNA, 1475 nt
Organism: Ctenopharyngodon idella (grass carp)
Lineage: Eukaryota; Metazoa; Chordata; Actinopteri; Cypriniformes; Xenocyprididae
Exons: 2
Source: RefSeq, a predicted model, not a curated record
UUUCAGAAACGUGAGUCAGCAGCGGAUGUUGAAGAAGCCACAGAAACCUCUGCUGUCUGCAAUAGCAUUCCUGUAUGUGAUGCAGUGCCGUCUAAGGGCCCGAAGAUCACGGGCAUCCAGUAUGGUUUUCCGGCCUUGACCCUUACGCACAGAGAUUGUUCCAGAUUCUCUGAAUCUUUGGAUGAUAUUAUGCACUGUAGAUGAUGAUAACUUCAAACUCUUUGCAAUUUUUCUCUGAGAAACUCCUUUCUGAUAUUGCUCCACUAUUUUUCGCCGCAGCAUUGGGGGAAUUGGUGAUCCUCUGCCCAUCUUGACUUCUGAGAGACACUGCCACUCUGAGAGGCUCUUUUUAUACCCAAUCAUGUUGCCAAUUGACCUAAUAAGUUGCAAAUUGGUCCUCCAGCUGUUCCUUAUAUGUACAUUUAACUUUCCGGCCUCUUAUUGCUACCUGUCCCAACUUUUUUGGAAUGUGUAGCUCUCAUGAAAUCCAAAAUGAGCCAAUAUUUGGCAUGACAUUUCAAAAUGUCUCACUUUCAACAUUUGAUAUGCUAUCUAUAUUCUAUUGUGAAUAAAAUAUAAGUUUAUGAGAUUUGUAAAUUAUUGCAUUCCUUUUUUAUUCACAAUUUGUACAGUGUCCCAACUUUUUUGGAAUCAAGUUUGUAUAACCCAUUUAUAAUUUAAAUAUAAGUUUUAUUUUUCAUGUCGCUAAGUACACAUUGCAAAAUUUCAGGAGUGACAACUGUAUUAAAUUGUGGGAUUGGAUCUGUUUGACAGAGAAAAACCACAGCAAUGAUGGUCAGAUAUGUCAAAAUAGAUCUGUGCAUUAAGUCUUGCUGUGUAAGUGCAAUAAAACUUCUGCUUGUUCUGUUACCUGUAAUGUUUCUUUGAUUUUCGUUUUAUUACUAACUUUUCUUAUUAACUGAACAGUAUUUGAAGGCUAAAUACCAAAGUUUUCAUCUAUUUAUUUAUAGUCAUUAAAAGCAUUAAAAUUAAAAGCUAAUUUCUGUGUGUGUGUGGCAAAGUUGGUCCCAAGAACCGUGAAAUUUGACUUAUUGGUACCGACUGAUGAAAUUUUGGUACAGUAAUAACACUAAUUUAGAUCAUAUUCCAAUUGAAUACAGAAAUAAUCAGAUUUGACUGACAGUGUGAACGUUGCCUUUAAAGCCUGCUGAACUGUCAGAUGCGGUUCAUUUUUCUUAAGCACACGUACAAUUAAUAUGAACAACAGUACUUUUUCAAACACAAGUGCCACAUUGGAGAGUCAGGCUAUGAUUAGUGUUUCCAGUUAUGUGUGCAAUAUUAAUAAAUCAGUCAAUGGACAGUGUUCACGAUCUGUGGAUGAGAUGAGAUACUGUAUGAAGCGACAUUCAUUUCUUUUGCAAGUGCAAAAGAUUAAGAUUUCUUUGUAUUUUUGUAUAAGUGGGCACAAAUUUGUAAGUGUAAAAAUAUUUGCAUAAAUUUGUAUCCUAAAAUCA